RNAcentral lists this ribosomal RNA (543 nucleotides) under Menegazzia terebrata. RNAcentral describes it as "eukaryotic LSU rRNA". It matches the Rfam family "Eukaryotic large subunit ribosomal RNA", at positions 262 to 824 of the family's 3401-position model. The record is from RNAcentral. Lineage: Eukaryota; Fungi; Ascomycota; Lecanoromycetes; Lecanorales; Parmeliaceae.
GAGUCGAGUUGUUUGGGAAUGCAGCUCAAAAUGGGUGGUAAAUUUCAUCUAAAGCUAAAUACUGGCUCAAGACCGAUAGCGCACAAGUAGAGUGAUCGAAAGAUGAAAAGCACUUUGGAAAGAGAGUCAAACAGUACGUGAAAUUGUUGAAAGGGAAGCGCUGGCAACCAGACCUGCCCGUAGGUGAUCAACCGCUGUUCUCAGCGGUGCACUCGCUCUGCGAUCAGGCCAGCAUCGGUUCGGGCGGCCGGAUAAAGGCUCGGGAAAUGUAGCUCCUCUCGGGGAGUGUUAUAGACUCCGGUGCAAUGCGGCCAGCCUGGACCGAGGACCGCGCUUCGGCUAGGAUGCUGGCGUAAUGGUUGUCAGCGACCCGUCUUGAAACACGGACCAAGGAGUCUAACAUCUAUGCGAGUGUUUGGGUGUUAAACCCAUGCGCGGAAUGAAAGUGAACGGAGGUGAGAACCCUUAAGGGCGCAUCAUCGACCGAUCCAGAUGUCCUCGGAUGGAUUUGAGUAUGAGCAUAGCUGUUGGGACCCGAAAGGU